This 484-nucleotide ribosomal RNA is filed under the name uncultured bacterium. Its description in RNAcentral is "partial 16S ribosomal RNA". It matches the Rfam family "Bacterial small subunit ribosomal RNA", at positions 29 to 507 of the family's 1533-position model. The record is from RNAcentral.
AUUGAACGCUGGCGGCAUGCUUUACACAUGCCAGUCGAACGGCAGCGCGGGCUUCGGCCUGGCGGCGAGUGGCGAACGGGUGAGUAAUACAUCGGAACGUGCCCAGUAGUGGGGGAUAGCUCGGCGAAAGCCGGAUUAAUACCGCAUACGACCUGAGGGUGAAAGCGGGGGAUCUUCGGACCUCGCGCUAUUGGAGCGGCCGAUGGCAGAUUAGCUAGUUGGUGGGGUAAAGGCCUACCAAGGCGACGAUCUGUAGCUGGUCUGAGAGGACGACCAGCCAAACUGGGACUGAGACACGGCCCAGACUCCUACGGGAGGCAGCAGUGGGGAAUUUUGGACAAUGGGCGAAAGCCUGAUCCAGCAAUGCCGCGUGUGUGAUGAAGGCCUUCGGGUUGUAAAGCACUUUUGGCGGGAACGAAAAGGACUGUGCCAAUACCACGGUUCGAUGACGGUACCCGCAGAAUAAGCACCGGCUAACUACGUG